AGUGAACGCUGGCGGUAGGCCUAACACAUGCAAGUCGAACGGCAGCACAGGAGAGCUUGCUCUCUGGGUGGCGAGUGGCGGACGGGUGAGGAAUACAUCGGAAUCUACUCUGUCGUGGGGGAUAACGUAGGGAAACUUACGCUAAUACCGCAUACGACCUACGGGCGAAAGCAGGGGACCUUCGGGCCUUGCGCGAUUGAAUGAGCCGAUGUCGGAUUAGCUAGUUGGCGGGGUAAAGGCCCACCAAGGUGACGAUCCGUAGCUGGUCUGAGAGGAUGAUCAGCCACACUGGAACUGAGACACGGUCCAGACUCCUACGGGAGGCAGCAGUGGGGAAUAUUGGACAAUGGGCGCAAGCCUGAUCCAGCCAUACCGCGUGGGUGAAGAAGGCCUUCGGGUUGUAAAGCCCUUUUGUUGGGAAAGAAAUCCAGCUGGCUAAUACCCGGUUGGGAUGACGGUACCCAAAGAAUAAGCACCGGCUAACUUCGUGCCAGCCGCCGCAGUAA
This 506-nucleotide ribosomal RNA is filed under the name uncultured bacterium. RNAcentral's name for it is "partial 16S ribosomal RNA". It matches the Rfam family "Bacterial small subunit ribosomal RNA", at positions 29 to 523 of the family's 1533-position model. The record is from RNAcentral.